UACGAAGGGGGCUAGCGUUGCUCGGAAUCACUGGGCGUAAAGCGCACGUAGGCGGACUCUUAAGUCAGGGGUGAAAUCCUGGAGCUCAACUCCAGAACUGCCUUUGAUACUGGGAGCCUUGAGUUCGGGAGAGGUGAGUGGAACUGCGAGUGUAGAGGUGAAAUUCGUAGAUAUUCGCAAGAACACCAGUGGCGAAGGCGGCUCACUGGCCCGUAACUGACGCUGAGGCACGAAAGCGUGGGGAGCAAACAGG
Molecule: ribosomal RNA, 253 nt
Filed under: uncultured bacterium
Lineage: Bacteria
Description: partial 16S ribosomal RNA
Rfam family: Bacterial small subunit ribosomal RNA
Source: RNAcentral